RNAcentral lists this ribosomal RNA (245 nucleotides) under uncultured bacterium. Its description in RNAcentral is "partial 16S ribosomal RNA". It matches the Rfam family "Bacterial small subunit ribosomal RNA", at positions 527 to 772 of the family's 1533-position model. The record is from RNAcentral.
GGAGGAUGCGAGCGUUAUCCGGAUUUAUUGGGUUUAAAGGGUGCGUAGGCGGCAUGGUAAGUCAGCGGUCAAAUCGAGGGGCUCAACCCCUUUCCGCCGUUGAAACUGUCGUGCUUGAGUGGGCGAGAAGUAUGCGGAAUGCGUGGUGUAGCGGUGAAAUGCAUAGAUAUCACGCAGAACUCCGAUUGCGAAGGCAGCAUACCGGCGCCCGACUGACGCUGAGGCACGAAAGCGUGGGGAUCGAA